This 1201-nucleotide long non-coding RNA is filed under the name Manduca sexta (tobacco hornworm). Its description in RNAcentral is "uncharacterized LOC115445270, transcript variant X3". The record is from RNAcentral. Lineage: Eukaryota; Metazoa; Arthropoda; Insecta; Lepidoptera; Sphingidae.
CGAUGUGUACAAUUGCACAUACUUAAUGUUACUUGUCGUUCGCCUGUAACUGGAUAGUAUGAUUUAAGUGAUAAACACAAUAGAAUAAAAAAAAACAUUUACUAACCUAAAAAUAUAAAUUUUCGGAGCUGCUCUGGAGAGUAAUGAAUACAGAUGAGUCUCCAUUUAGUUGGUACGGAUUAAAUCUAAAGCCAUAAAAAUUACUGGCUUUAUGCUGCCCGGCAUUUAAAAAAUCAAAGGGUGACAGGAGCUGUAGCACUUAGCAGGGUCGACGCCAGGCAGGCAUGUGAUGUUUGACAUAGGAAAGUUCAAGGAGAACCUAGUUUAGAACGAAGAAUUCUCGCAACGUUCUCUAAUCAGUAAUUAGUAGAGACCUCUCUCUACCGAUCGUGGUAGCUACUAUUGUCGGUAGAUGGAGGUCGUAGCUCUCAGUGUAUACUUCUGCGAACAUAUGAUGUCGCAGAAAGAAAGCGCCGAACGAGAUCAGGAGCAAACCGAUUAUUCUACAGCCAAAUGAGAAACAGAAAGCGGCUGAUGAUUAACCUGCGCCUCCCGCCGUGUGGGGUGUGAAAAAUUUAAACUUCAGUUUUUUGCAUUCAAUCCAUCUCUUCUCUUGAAUGCACUCCCACUCGAUAUUAGGACGACCACGAAUCGUUUUGCAUUCACAGCAAAGGUUCGACUGCUCUUGCAUACAAAGGUUGACUGAUAGAGAAUGCCUUCGGCAUUAAGUCCGCCUUUAUACAUUUAUGUAUUAUAGAAAAUGAACAUAAAAUAAAUAAAUAAAUAAAAUUUGAUACUUGUUUUCCAAAAUUUGAUACAUCCUCGCAUUGUGUACAAGCCCUUUGUUGAUUCAUAAUGAUAAUAUAGGUGCAUGCUUAUCAUUGGUUAGCGAUAGGAAUGGAUAUAUCGACAACAAAACUCAAAUAAUAAAUCAGCUUAUACCUAGUCAUAUGUUGAUGUUGUAAUGUGCUAGCCAUAUUUUUUCCAAAAACGCUGAUAAACACAUAAUAAACGAUGGGCAUCUGCUGUUCUUGCUGCUGUGGUGAUUCGACACAACCUGUGCAAGUGGUGGAGCACGCGGAAACAAACUUCGGCCCCCCGCCUCAGCCGGUGAUGAUCGUAGAACACAGUCCUUCCAACUACGGAGAAGGUGUUGGUAGAUGAUAGUGCUUUCAUAUAUUAUACGACUUAUUUAUUGAAA